AUGUCUUUCAAUUCUCGUACUCGUAAUUGGAAAGUUAUGGAAGGAGACCCAUCAUUUUGCAAUGAAAACAACAUAUAAAACUCUGGACAAUUUCGAAAUCAGGCCAAGCGUCUUAAUACAUAUGCAAAAAAAUCAUUAUUGGCCCACCAUUGA
This 153-nucleotide ribosomal RNA is filed under the name Triticum aestivum (bread wheat). RNAcentral's name for it is "partial small subunit ribosomal RNA". Lineage: Eukaryota; Viridiplantae; Streptophyta; Magnoliopsida; Poales; Poaceae. The record is from RNAcentral.